Molecule: long non-coding RNA, 333 nt
Filed under: Bos indicus x Bos taurus (hybrid cattle)
Lineage: Eukaryota; Metazoa; Chordata; Mammalia; Artiodactyla; Bovidae
Description: lncRNA (ENSBIXG00005024251.1)
Source: RNAcentral
AUGAGUGCACACGCACACGCACACGCCGGGAGGGAGACAGGGGUUCCCAGCCCCUGCGGUGAACAUCCUGAUCCUCAACUCUGUGAAGCAAUUAAAGAUCCUCACAUAGGCGAUUCAAGUCUUCCAAAACACUCCUUCUGUUGCCUUCAGAAGAUCCUGCAUAAAAGUCACCUUCGGGAUUGGUGUUUGAGUCCACACGUGUGGGGUUCAGACAUGAGAUUCCAGAUAAACAACACCCAUGAGGUGACCCGUGGAGCAUGCAAUACAAUAAGCUGGGGUACUUGUAAAUUUUGGAUUCCUGGGUCUCGCAUGAGAAGAGCGCCUCUUUCUUAA